UACAGAGGAGCCAAGCGUUGUCCGGAUUGACUGGGCGUAAAGCGCACGCAGGCGGAUGCGCGCGUGGGGUGUGAAAUCUGGCCGCUCAACGGCCAGGCGCCAUCCCAUACGGCGCGUCUGGAGUGAUGCAGAGGUCGGUGGAAUUGCCGGUGUAGUGGUGAAAUGCGUAGAGAUCGGCAGGGACACCCAGGGGGAAACCAGCCGACUGGGCAUCUACUGACGCUGAGGUGCGAGAGCGUGGGGAGCGAACCGG
Molecule: ribosomal RNA, 253 nt
Filed under: uncultured bacterium
Lineage: Bacteria
Description: partial 16S ribosomal RNA
Rfam family: Bacterial small subunit ribosomal RNA
Source: RNAcentral